Molecule: small nucleolar RNA, 206 nt
Organism: Suncus etruscus (white-toothed pygmy shrew)
Lineage: Eukaryota; Metazoa; Chordata; Mammalia; Eulipotyphla; Soricidae
Product: small nucleolar RNA U3
Exons: 1
Source: RefSeq, a predicted model, not a curated record
AAGACUAUACUUUCAAGGAUCAUUUCUAUGGUAUGUGACUAGAGAAGUUCCUCUGAUCAUGUAGCACACUCGAAGCCACGAGGAGGAGCCAGAGCGUCUGUCCUCUCCUGAGUGUGAAGCCGGCUUUGGGUGUUGCUUCUGUGACUGCCUUUGGCCAUUAUUGAUGAUUGUUCUUCUCUUCCUUUGGAAGGGGCAGAGGAAGUGGU